UGGCGACCAUAGCGUUAUGGACCCACCUGAUCCCAUGCCGAACUCAGUAGUGAAACGUAAUAGCGCCGAUGGUAGUGUGGGGCCUCCCCAUGUGAGAGUAGGACAUCGCCAGGC
This 114-nucleotide ribosomal RNA is filed under the name Photobacterium angustum. The record is from RNAcentral. Lineage: Bacteria; Pseudomonadati; Pseudomonadota; Gammaproteobacteria; Vibrionales; Vibrionaceae.